UCCGGUUUGUCACCGGCAGUCCCAUUAGAGUGCCCAACUGAAUGUGGCGACUAAUGGCAAGGGUUGCGCUCGUUGCGGGACUUAACCCAACAUCUCACGACACGAGCUGACGACAGCCAUGCAGCACCUGUGACCAGGUUCCCUUUCGGGCACACUCCCAUCUCUGGGAGCUUCCUGGCAUGUCAAGGGUAGGUAAGGUUUUUCGCGUUGCAUCGAAUUAAUCCACAUAAUCCACCGCUUGUGCGGGGAGGAAGGUGGGGAUGACGUUCGUCUGAC
RNAcentral lists this unclassified non-coding RNA (276 nucleotides) under uncultured Gammaproteobacteria bacterium. Its description in RNAcentral is "contains 16S-23S intergenic spacer region". The record is from RNAcentral. Lineage: Bacteria; Pseudomonadati; Pseudomonadota; Gammaproteobacteria.